AACGAACGCUGGCGGCAGGCCUAACACAUGCAAGUCGAGCGGGGACUCCGGUUCUGGCGGCGGACGGGUGAGUAACGCGGGGGACGGUGCCCUUCUCUACGGAAAACUCCUGGGAAACGGGGAGUAAUACCGUAAACGUCCUAUUGGGAAAAGAUUUAUCGGAAUAGGAUCAGCCCGGGUUGGAUUAGGCAGUUGGGAGGGUAAUGGCCUACCAAGCAGACGAUCCAUAGCUGGUUUGAGAGGAUGAUCAGCCACACUGGGACUGAGACACGGCCCAGACUCCUACGGGAGGCAGCAGUGGGGAAUCUUGGACAAUGGGGGCAACCCUGAUCUAGCCAUGCCGCGUGAGUGAUGAAGGCCUUAGGGUUGUAAAGCUCUUUCAGCUGGGAAGAUAAUGACGGUACCAGCAGAAUAAGCCCCGGCUAACUCCGUG
RNAcentral lists this ribosomal RNA (433 nucleotides) under uncultured bacterium. RNAcentral's name for it is "partial 16S ribosomal RNA". It matches the Rfam family "Bacterial small subunit ribosomal RNA", at positions 29 to 507 of the family's 1533-position model. The record is from RNAcentral.